Pseudonaja textilis is the source of this 158-nucleotide non-coding RNA. The record is from RefSeq and is a predicted model, not a curated record. NCBI's taxonomy places the organism in Eukaryota, Metazoa, Chordata, Lepidosauria, Squamata, Elapidae.
AAGAUGGAAAGAGAAAGAAGGAAAAAACCAUCAGCAAUAAGUUCCAGGUGCUGCGUUUGAUUGGAGGAUCGCAGGAAACAUGGGGGGAGGAGGAGGAAUGUAGUUUCCAAUUCUUUUAAAUAUCACUAUUCCAGCUAAAGAUGUAGCUCAGUUAUAAU